GCACAGCACUCCUACGGAGGCAGCAGUGGGGAAUAUUGCACAAUGGGCGCAAGCCUGAUGCAGCCAUGCCGCGUGUAUGAAGAAGGCCUUCGGGUUGUAAAGUACUUUCAGCAGUGAGGAAGGUGGGUAUGUUAAUAGCAUACUCAUUUGACGUUAGCUGCAGAAGAAGCACCGGCUAACUCCGUGCCAGCAGCCGCGGUAAUACGGAGGGUGCGAGCGUUAAUCGGAAUUACUGGGCGUAAAGCGCAUGCAGGUGGUUUGUUAAGUCAGAUGUGAAAGCCCGGGGCUCAACCUCGGAAUUGCAUUUGAAACUGGCAAACUAGAGUACUGUAGAGGGGGUAGAAUUUCAGGUGUAGCGGUGAAAUGCGUAGAGAUCUGAAGGAAUACCGGUGGCGAAGGCGGCCCCCUGGACAGAUACUGACACUCAGAUGCGAAAGCGUGGGGAGCAAACAGGAUUAGAUACCCUGGUAG
This 471-nucleotide ribosomal RNA is filed under the name uncultured bacterium. RNAcentral's name for it is "bacterial SSU rRNA". It matches the Rfam family "Bacterial small subunit ribosomal RNA", at positions 328 to 793 of the family's 1533-position model. The record is from RNAcentral.